Molecule: long non-coding RNA, 892 nt
Organism: Vitis vinifera (wine grape)
Lineage: Eukaryota; Viridiplantae; Streptophyta; Magnoliopsida; Vitales; Vitaceae
Exons: 2
Source: RefSeq, a predicted model, not a curated record
AAUCAUAAACAAUCAUAAGGGUCCUGUAGCUCAGUUGGUUAAAGUGUUGGUCUUAUGAGUCGAAAGUCUCGUUCAAGCUCUCUUACCACUAUACCAUCUUCAAUUUUUUUUUUAACGGCGUCGCAUGGAAUGAAUGCUACAGAUCGUACGGAUUUCGUAUUCCAGAUGAUGACGUAUUUGAUCGGAGUCAAAGGCGAACUAAACCAGUCAAUUUGGUCAAAGCCCCAUGCGUUGAUAGGACUCGAACCCGACAUAUGAGGCUAAAGCUUGUCAAGUAAUGAUUUAGAGGUGAAGUCAAUUGCUUCUUCGACAAACCAAGAUUUGAUUGGGUGGUUGGUGUUCAAAAUUUGAGUUUUUUGAAUUGCCAUGAUGACGAGUUGCUCAAAGUUGCAACAUGCCCAAUUGAUAUUGCAUUGACUAUCAAGAUCAACCCAAGCACUUGACCUUAGUGAACAAUUUGUUUUGAAGUACUUGCCUAAGUAUGCCAUAGAGAAAGCUUAGGAAGAGGAUAGCAAGAAGACGAAGGAAGAAAAGGAAAGAAAAAAAAAUGGAAGGAAGAGCUCACCCCACAAAAAAGAUAAGUAGGAGAUGCUACAAAGUGAGAUGAGACAAGAGAAAGCUUUGGAAGAGGAGGAGAACUAAAAGAAGAAGAAGAAAGAAAUAAAAAAUGAGGAAAGGAGAGCUCCCCCAACAAGGAAGAGUUACUGUAGUCUUGGGACUUUACUUGGAAGGCAUCCAAGGCCUCUAAAGGCACUUAUAGAGUGAGAGAUAAGACGAGGAAGCAACAACAUAGCAGAGGAAAUCUUUGUCAUGCAUAUGUUUUAAACAAUUUAAUUAAUAUUGAAUCUUGUUAUUAGAUGCCAUCAAUGCUAAACACAUUUGUUUUAUUUAA